This 442-nucleotide ribosomal RNA is filed under the name uncultured bacterium. RNAcentral describes it as "partial 16S ribosomal RNA". It matches the Rfam family "Bacterial small subunit ribosomal RNA", at positions 338 to 795 of the family's 1533-position model. The record is from RNAcentral.
CCUACGGGAGGCAGCAGUAGGGAAUCUUUCACAAUGGGCGAAAGCCUGAUGGAGCAACGCCGCGUGCAGGAUGAAGGCCUUCGGGUUGUAAACUGCUUUUAUAAGCGAGAAAUAUGAUGGUAACUUAUGAAUAAGGAUCGGCUAACUACGUGCCAGCAGCCGCGGUCAUACGUAGGAUCCGAGCAUUAUCCGGAGUGACUGGGUGUAAAGAGUUGCGUAGGUGGCAUAAUAAGUAGCUAGUGAAAUCUGGUGGCUCAACAAUUCAGACUAUUAGCUAAACUGUUAAGCUCGAGAGCGUUAGAGGUAACUGGAAUUUCUAGUGUAGGAGUGAAAUCCGUAGAUAUUAGAAGGAACACCAAUAGCGUAGGCAGGUUACUGGGACGGUUCUGACACUAAGGCACGAAAGCGUAGGGAGCAAACGGGAUUAGAUACCCUUGUAGUC